CGUCAAAUCAUCAUGCCCCUUAUGUCUUGGGCUUCACACGUGCUACAAUGGCUAAUACAACGAGUUGCAAUACUGUAAAGUAAAGCGAAUCUCUUAAAAUUAGUCUCAGUUCAGAUUGGGGUCUGCAACUCGACCCCAUGAAGUCGGAGUCGCUAGUAAUCGCGGAUCAGAAUGCCGCGGUGAAUACGUUCCCGGGUCUU
This 200-nucleotide ribosomal RNA is filed under the name uncultured prokaryote. RNAcentral describes it as "partial 16S ribosomal RNA". It matches the Rfam family "Bacterial small subunit ribosomal RNA", at positions 1183 to 1382 of the family's 1533-position model. The record is from RNAcentral.